This 461-nucleotide ribosomal RNA is filed under the name uncultured bacterium. RNAcentral describes it as "SSU rRNA". It matches the Rfam family "Bacterial small subunit ribosomal RNA", at positions 26 to 518 of the family's 1533-position model. The record is from RNAcentral.
AGGAUGAACGCUGGCGGAGUGCCUAAUACAUGCAAGUCGAGCGGCAGCGGGAGUAGUUUACUACUUGCCGGCGAGCGGCGGACGGCUGAGUAACGCGUGGGAAUGUGCCCCAAGGUGAGGGAUAACUUCGAGAAAUCGGAGCUAAUACCGCAUAUGGUCUUCGGAUUAAAGGAUUUAUCCGCCAUGGGAACAGCCCGCGUACGAUUAGAUAGUUGGUGAGGUAAAAGCUCACCAAGUCGACGAUCGUUAGCUGGUCUGAGAGGAUGACCAGCCAGACUGGAACUGAGACACGGUCCAGACUCCUACGGGAGGCAGCAGUAAGGAAUCUUCCACAAUGGACGAAAGUCUGAUGGAGCAACUCCGCGUGCAGGAUGAAGGCCUUAGGGUUGUAAACUGCUUUUAUGAGUGAAGAUAUGACGUAACUCAUGAAUAGGGUCAGCUAACUACGUGCCAGCAGCCGC